GCCUGGGUGGCUCAGUCAGUUGAGUCUCUGACUUCGGUUCAGGUCAUGUCACAGUUCAUGGGUUCAAGCCCCACAUCAGGCU
This is a transfer RNA of Felis catus (domestic cat), 82 nucleotides long. It matches the Rfam family "tRNA". From Rfam's summary of the family: Transfer RNA (tRNA) molecules are approximately 80 nucleotides in length. Their secondary structure includes four short double-helical elements and three loops (D, anti-codon, and T loops). The record is from Rfam. Lineage: Eukaryota; Metazoa; Chordata; Mammalia; Carnivora; Felidae.